This 378-nucleotide unclassified non-coding RNA is filed under the name plant metagenome. Its description in RNAcentral is "partial contains 5.8S ribosomal RNA, internal transcribed spacer 2, and large subunit ribosomal RNA". The stretch from base 1 to 105 matches the Rfam family "5.8S ribosomal RNA", at positions 50 to 154 of the family's 154-position model. The record is from RNAcentral.
GAAAUGAGAUAAGUAAUGUGAAUUGCAGAAUUCAGUGAAUCAUCGAAUCUUUGAACGCACCUUGCGCUCCUUGGUAUUCCUUGGAGCAUGCCUGUUUGAGUAUCAUGAAAUCUUCAAAGUAAAUCUUUUGUUAACUCAAUUGGUUUCUACUUUGGUAUUGGAGGUCUUUGCAGCUUCACACCUGCUCCUCUUUGUUCAUUAGCUGGAUCUCAGUGUUAUGCUUGGUUCCACUCGGCGUGAUAAGUUAUCUAUCGCUGAGGACACUGUAAAAGGUGGCCAAGGUAAAUGCAGAUGAACCGCUUCUAAUAGUCCAUUGACUUGGACAAUACUUUUAUGAUCUGAUCUCAAAUCAGGUAGGACUACCCGCUGAACUUAAGC